UAUGCCACCAAAUCUGUGAUGUUAAGAUCUCUCUUUUGUUGUCGGGUUAAAGGCAUGUAUUGGUUGAGAGAGGUGAUGGUCGAAAGGGUUGGUGGAUUGGUGGAUGUAGGCUACGGUUUAGGAUUGUUUUGUGGCUAUUUUGGGUGCAGUUUGAGGGUGUGGUUUGGUGGAGUUUUAGGGUUGUGGAUGAAUGUUUUGGAUCUGUGGUAGAUGGUAGCAAAGGUUUGAUAGAAAUCAGUGGAAGUUGCAGCAAGUAUGUGCUAN
Molecule: long non-coding RNA, 264 nt
Filed under: Musa acuminata (dwarf banana)
Lineage: Eukaryota; Viridiplantae; Streptophyta; Magnoliopsida; Zingiberales; Musaceae
Description: long non-coding RNA (MACU_LNC007287)
Source: RNAcentral